Molecule: long non-coding RNA, 2191 nt
Organism: Cervus elaphus (red deer)
Lineage: Eukaryota; Metazoa; Chordata; Mammalia; Artiodactyla; Cervidae
Exons: 3
Source: RefSeq, a predicted model, not a curated record
CACCCACCUGUGCGGGGGAGUGGGAGGUGGUCAGUGAGGGUCAGCCCCUUGCUCUGCACUGGGCUUUUCUCCUAAUAGGAAUGCCUGCCUGCUCUGCGCUCAGCCUAACUCGAUUCCUCCUUCCUUCCUUCCACCAUUGGUUCAGAAACUCCAGAUUUUCCCUAGUUGGUCCCAUCUGAGUGUUACCACAUGUUUCUCACUAGAUUAAACCCCACAAGUGUAGGCUUCCUGUUGUUUCUCCUGAAAAUUCCAAUACCUAGCACAUGGUGCCUGGCAGGUAGUAAGUAUCCGACAGAAGUGAACACCAAACGAAGUGAUCAUUUGUCUGUUCUGUGUGCCGUGCAGCACUGCAUAGGCUGACUCAGUCUAGUCUGUGAGCUAUGCAGAACUCCAGAACUGAAGGGGAUCUUAGACUUCACUUGUUUCACUUCACUUGUUUUUGCCACAUUUUAAUUACUUUCCUGGAUUUUUUCACUCUUCUCUGAACUGUAAACUCCCUGAAGACAGGGACAAUAUUUUCUCUUUUAACACAGGGUUUUGUGCAUGUGGGUCCCCACCUAACUCUUGGGUAAGCUUACCCUUCCAUCCACCCCCAAAAAAUAUGAGAUCCUCUACUGGGGCUGAAGGUGAUCCCCCCUCCUCCACCUCUUGCUCUUCAUCCCAGCAUCUGAGGAGCAGCGGCCCCAGCGCAGCCCUCUCCCCCUCCGCCGCGCCCCUGCUCUCCUCUCGUCAGGGCUCACUGCCAGGACCUGGAACGCGUGACUCCACAUCCCGAACGACACUCACUCUAGAAUCUCGUUGUACUCAAUGGUCUCUUCCAGGUUCUGAAGGUUGGGAUUGACACUGCGAAUUGCACGCAUGUAUGCCUUGAGCAGCUGAAUGUCUCGCUUCUGUUGGAGGGAAGGAGAACAAGGGAAAAUGGUUAAGACAGACAAUAGAUGAAAGACACGAUGAAGGAAAUCCAGAGGUCUGAGGCACAACCAGACUGGAAGCUUCAUGAAGACAGGGCUAGACUGCGUCAAUCCCAGCUGUACCCCAGGGCUUAGCGAAGUGCCUUCAAGGGAAGGCACGUGAUGAACAGUGAAUAAAUGAAUGUCACUGGUGGGAUGGUGAGGAACAAGGAGGGCUCCCGUCUGACUCGCUGCUGUGCACGGCGCACGCCGUGUUCCCGGCCCCACCUGCUCCGCCAGCUGGUGCCUGUGCUCCGCCGAGGCCUUCUCCAGCUCCGCGAUCCGCGUCUGCUGCUGCUGCACCACUGAGCGCAGGUGCUUGAUGCAGUUGUGGUUGGGCAGCUCAUCUUUGGGCAUCUCCAGGCUGCCACCGGGGCGGGAAAAGAACACGACAGGAGCGCUCGGUGAGACACGUGGGCACAGGCAGGCAGACACUUUACCACGGCCACCAGGGAAGCCCCAGAUAAGACGUCGCCGAACAGGAACUGAAACCCGCCGUGGACACCCAGCCAGUGGGCUACCUGGAGCAAGGAUGGGCACCUGAUACAAGCGUGGACAAUCACAGACCAGCCAUCAGGCCGUGACGUUCUGAGAAAGACGAGCUGAGUCACGAAGUUCUCAGAAAUUGGGAAUUAUGCUGUUCAGUUUACAAGAGGGGGGGAUGGGGGAUUUCCCUGGCAGUCCAGUGGGAGGACUUGGCGUUUUCACUGUGGUGGCCUGGGUCUGAUCUCAGGUCGUGGAACCAAGAUCUCUGAAGCUGCGGCUCAAAGGUAAACAAACAAACAAACAAAUAAAAAUAGAAAAUAAAAGGGCAGGGAAUGGAAUGGAUGCAGAGAGGCCUUGCUAGGUCAAGUACAAACUAAAGUACAGCAGUGGACUGACUUAAGACUGACUGGAUUUACAUCCCUAGUUCUACUACUCAUUAGCUGUGUGACCUUGGGCAGGCCAUGUACACUUCCUAAACCUCAAUGGCUUUUUAAAUAGAUGAAGUGGGUGGAUAAGAAAACGCAUGAGGAACACUGAGCAUGGUGUUCGCUGGCCACACCAGGCACUCGAUACAGAGUGACCACCAUUCGUGUGCACAACUGUGCCACGCGGCAUCUUAGUUCCUCACCAGGGGCCCUGACCACUGGACGGCCAGGGAGUUCAGUCCAGUUCAGUCACUCAGUCGUGUCUGACUCUUCCCAACACCAUGGACUGCAGCAUGCCAGGUCUCCCUGUCCAUCACCAACUCCCGCAGU